GAUAAACGCUGGCGGCGUGCAUAACACAUGCAAGUCGAACGAUGAAACUUAGAUGAUUUCUUCGGAAUGAACUUAAGCGGAUUAGUGGCGAACGGGUGAGUAACACGUGAGUAACCUGCCUUACACAAGGGGAUAGCCUUUGGAAACGAAGAAUAAUACCCUAUAACGUCAAUUUAUCGCAUGAUAGAAUGACCGAAGAUUUAUCGGUGUAAGAUGGACUUGCGUCUGAUUAGCUAGUUGGUGAGAUAAAGGCCCACCAAGGCAACGAUCAGUAGCCGGCUUGAGAGAGUGUACGGCCACAUUGGGACUGAGACACGGCCCAAACUCCUACGGGAGGCAGCAGUGGGGAAUUUUGCACAAUGGGGGAAACCCUGAUGCAGCGACGCCGCGUGAUUUAGAAGGCCUUCGGGUUGUAAAAAUCUUUUUUAUGGGAUGAAAAUGACAGUACCAUAAGAAUAAGGUCCGGCUAAAUACGUGCCAGCAGCCGCGGUAAUACGUAUGGACCGAGCGUUGUCCGGAAUCAUUGGGCGUAAAGGGUACGUAGGCGGCCCAGUAAGUUAGAAGUGAAAUAAUAUAGCUCAACUAUAUAAAGCUUUUAAAACUGCUAGGCUUGAGAGAUGGAAGGGAAAGUGGAAUUCCUAGUGUAGCGGUGAAAUGCGCAGAUAUUAGGAAGAAUACCGGUGGCGAAGGCGACUUUCUGGUCAUCAUCUGACGCUGAGGUACGAAAGCGUGGGUAGCAAACAGGAUUAGAUACCCUGGUAGUCCACGCUGUAAACGAUGAGUGUUAGGUUCUUGGAAUAAUCUGGGAGCCGCAGCUAACGCAUUAAACACUCCGCGUGGGGAGUACGCACGCAAGUGUG
This 860-nucleotide ribosomal RNA is filed under the name uncultured Clostridia bacterium. RNAcentral describes it as "bacterial SSU rRNA". It matches the Rfam family "Bacterial small subunit ribosomal RNA", at positions 28 to 896 of the family's 1533-position model. The record is from RNAcentral. Lineage: Bacteria; Bacillati; Bacillota; Clostridia.